GCCCCCGUAGCCCAAACGGCAGAGGCAGACGCCUUAAAAGCGUUCCAGUGUCGGUUCGAAUCCGACCGGGGGCACCA
RNAcentral lists this transfer RNA (77 nucleotides) under Allosaccharopolyspora coralli. RNAcentral describes it as "Saccharopolyspora coralli tRNA-Leu". It matches the Rfam family "tRNA". From Rfam's summary of the family: Transfer RNA (tRNA) molecules are approximately 80 nucleotides in length. Their secondary structure includes four short double-helical elements and three loops (D, anti-codon, and T loops). The record is from RNAcentral. Lineage: Bacteria; Bacillati; Actinomycetota; Actinomycetes; Pseudonocardiales; Pseudonocardiaceae.